CCUACGGGUGGCAGCAGUGAGGAAUAUUGGUCAAUGGACGCAAGUCUGAACCCGCCAUGCCGCGUGCAGGAAGACGGCUCUAUGAGUUGUAAACUGCUUUUGUACGAGGGUAAACGCAGAUACGCGUAUCUGUCUGAAAGUAUCGUACGAAUAAGCAUCGGCUAACUCCGUGCCAGCAGCCGCGGUAAUACGUAGGUGGCAAGCGUUGUCCGGAUUUACUGGGUGUAAAGGGCGUGCAGCCGGGCUGACAAGUCAGUUGUGAAAUCCGCGGGCGUAACCCGCGAACUGCAUUUGAAACUAUUGGGCUUGAGUGCCGGAGAGGUAAUCGGAAGUCGUUGUGUAGCGGUGAAAUGCGUAGAUAUAAGGAAGAACACCAAUGGCGAAGGCGGAUUACUGGACGGUAACUGACGGUGAGGCGCGAAAGCGUGGGGAGCAAACAGGAUUAGAUACCCGAGUAGUC
This 460-nucleotide ribosomal RNA is filed under the name uncultured bacterium. RNAcentral's name for it is "partial 16S ribosomal RNA". It matches the Rfam family "Bacterial small subunit ribosomal RNA", at positions 338 to 795 of the family's 1533-position model. The record is from RNAcentral.